GAUCAAGAAAUGCCUGUUGGCACCUGAUAAUUUAUUAAGAAGUUCAAUUCAUAAGUGUUUAUGACUACCUAAUUAGUGUUCAUUCUUUUUUUUUUGCUGUGUUCUUAUCUAGGAUCAAGAAUAUAAAUGGAGGUGGCAACUAGUUUUUGUUUUUGAAGCUGUAUUUAAGAUUAUAUUUCUCAAAUAACCUUUCUUUAUGGUGUAAUUUUAUUUGAUUCUUUCUUUGGUGGAGAGGUCUUCCUACUCAACUAGUGAUCCAUCUUCUUGGCUUUAACUAUAGUUGACAGAGAGCUCUGCACAGCUCUCUGCCAGGUUUAAAGGCUUUUUCACUCGUCAUGUAAACUUCCUAUGCUCCUGAUUAGUUCAUUUUGAAUUGCACAUAUACCUUGAUUUGUAUCCAAAUCCUGUGAUGAGAACUGAGGUUUUACCCUAUCUUCAUUUGCUGCUGUACGAGUAGAUUGGACCACUUCAUUGAUGUCUCUUUGCAAUUGCAGGUUGAGCCACCAGUGAUGCACAUGUUGAGAUCUGGUUAGAGCUAAAAAAAAAGAUCUGUCUUGACAGAGAAAGGGAUUUUUCUUUGCCUGAAAUCCAAAACAUAAGUUAUAUGGCGGGACUCAUCCCUAUUUAAUAGGCGGUCCUAUAUGUUUAUGUGUUUGUGUGUAUCGGGCUUAGGCAAUAAUUUUCUAGUAUCAAAGUUAAUAUUUAUCAGCUUACUAAAAGUAGCAGAAUUCCAAUACUCUUCAUUAUGGCCAAAACUGGCAUAUGGAACCA
RNAcentral lists this unclassified non-coding RNA (771 nucleotides) under Hevea brasiliensis (rubber tree). Lineage: Eukaryota; Viridiplantae; Streptophyta; Magnoliopsida; Malpighiales; Euphorbiaceae. The record is from RNAcentral.